RNAcentral lists this long non-coding RNA (428 nucleotides) under Capsicum annuum. Its description in RNAcentral is "long non-coding RNA (CANN_LNC009884)". The record is from RNAcentral. Lineage: Eukaryota; Viridiplantae; Streptophyta; Magnoliopsida; Solanales; Solanaceae.
AGGGGUAUAGUCAGAGUAGAUUUUCUAGAGAGAUCUGCCCUCAGUUUUAGAGCUGUUCUUUUAUGCCAGCACCGUUAUCAGCUAGUACUCCCAUAUCCAGAGUCAGGCAGGAGCAAGGUAAUAUACCUACUAUGUCUAGGUCUCAGGACAGUGUGAGUAAUAAACCUAACUAUCUCCCAUAUACUAAGUGUAGUAGGACGUAUCCUAGAGAGUGUAUGGCUGAGUAGAGAGGUUUGUUUGGUUGUGGUAAGUUGGGCCACAAAUUCAGGGAUUGCCCAUAUGCUAGACAGGAGAGCCGUGAUGUUCGUCUCUAGAGUCAGGCUAUUAGUGCUCCAGCCCCUUGGGUUCGUCCUACUACUCCUCAGGAUGCAUCAUCUAGUACUGCUGGUGGUCAGUUCCAGAAUUGCUUUUAUGCUAUACCACCCCGC